UAGUCCGCACAGUAAACGAUGAAUGCUAGCUGUCCGGGGGAAUUGACCCCUGGGUGGCACAGCGAAAGCGUUAAGCAUUCCACCUGGGGAGUACGCCGGCAACGGUGAAACUCAAAGGAAUUGACGGGGGCCCGCACAAGCGGAGGAACAUGUGGUUUAAUUCGAUGAUACGCGAGGAACCUUACCCGGGCUCAAACGCCGAAGGAACAUUCCCCGAAAGGGGAAUGGCCAGCAAUGGUCUUCGGCGAGGUGCUGCAUGGUUGUCGUCAGCUCGUGCCGUGAGGUGUCGGCUUAAGUGCCAUAGCGAGCGCAACCCCCACCGACAGUUGCUAACUGGUCAAGCAGAGGACUCUGUCGGGACUGCCGGCGCGAGCUGCGAGGAAGGCGGGGAUGACGUCAAAUCAGCACGGCCCUUACGUCCGGGGCGACACACGUGUUACAAUGGCAGGUACAGCGGGAUGCCAUGGGGCGACCCAGAGCGGAACCCGAAAACCUGUCUCAGUUCGGAUUGGAGUCUGCAACCCGACUCCAUGAAGCUGGAUUCGCUAGUAAUCGCGCAUCAGCCACGGCGCGGUGAAUACGUUCCCGGGCCUUGUACACACCGCCCGUCAAGCCAUGGGAGCCGGGGGUGCCUGAAGGCCGUGACCGCGAGGAGCGGCCUAGGGUAAAACUGGUGACUGGGGCUAAGUCGUAACAAGGUAGCCGUACCGGAAGGUGCGGCUGGAUCACCUC
RNAcentral lists this ribosomal RNA (732 nucleotides) under uncultured bacterium. RNAcentral's name for it is "bacterial SSU rRNA". It matches the Rfam family "Bacterial small subunit ribosomal RNA", at positions 791 to 1529 of the family's 1533-position model. The record is from RNAcentral.